RNAcentral lists this ribosomal RNA (643 nucleotides) under marine sediment metagenome. Its description in RNAcentral is "LSU rRNA". It matches the Rfam family "Bacterial large subunit ribosomal RNA", at positions 1642 to 2255 of the family's 2925-position model. The record is from RNAcentral.
CCGUACUAAAACUGACACAGGUAGGCGAGGAGAAUAUCCUAAGGCGCUCGAGAAAACCGUCCUUAAGGAACUCGGCAAAUUGACCCCGUAAGUUUGCGAUAAGGGGUCCCUCCAGAUGCGCUCGGUAAUUCAUUAUUGGGCGUAUGCUGAGGGCGCAGUGAAGUGGCUCUGGCGACUGUUUAUCAAAAACACAGCUCUCUGCUAACACUUAAAGUGGAUGUAUAGAGAGUGACGCCUGCUCGGUGCCGGAAGGUUAAGGGGAUGGGUUAUUGUCUCUUCGGAGACGAGAAGCUCCUAACUGAAGCCCCGGUAAACGGCGGCCGUAACUAUGACGGUCCUAAGGUAGCGAAAUUCCUUGUCGGGUAAGUUCCGACGUGCAUGAAUGGCGUAACGACUGGAGCACUGUCUCGAGGACGGACUCGGUGAAAUUGUAUUUGUGGUGAAGAUACCACAUACCCGCGGCAAGACGGAAAGACCCCGUGAACCUUUACUAUAUCCUGGUAUUGAUGCCUGGCAUAUCUUGCGUAGGAUAGGUGGGAGGCUAUGAGGCCCCGAUUUCGGUCGGGGCGGAGCCAACCUUGAAAUACCACCCUUGCUAUGUUAGUCACCUAACCGCGACCCGUGAAUCCGGGCGUGGGACCGU